Molecule: long non-coding RNA, 912 nt
Filed under: Marmota monax (woodchuck)
Lineage: Eukaryota; Metazoa; Chordata; Mammalia; Rodentia; Sciuridae
Source: RNAcentral
GCUGGCUGGCUCCUGACUGGUCCUGUGUCCUUGGGAAGGUGGGUCCCAAGGGCGUCUGCUAGGCUGGGGCUUCAGGCCUGUAAAAGCCGCCGAGGCUACGGCCUGGCCCAGGCCUCCCACCGUGGCUUGAUCUCUUCAGAAGAGCUCCCACCGGCACCCAGGGUAGAGGGGACUCCCCGCCCAGGGGAUGUUCCAGAGGACAUCCUUGGUGUGCAGGGCUGGAUGUACCAAGUGACCAGUGAGUGCCCUUGGCAAGCUGGAGGUCCUGCUGGCUGCACCCUAGUCGCACAGGAGCCCCGUCGGCACCACAGACGUCUGGAAACCCUUCAAGGCCCAGAUCAAGCUCCUGGCAUUUGGAAGUCCAGCUGCCCCAGGAGGGCUGGGCAGUGGGUCCCAGGAGGGCCAGGUGGUGGAUCCCAAGAGCAGGAACUGAGGUGACGGGGGUUUUACGAGCAGCAUGGGCCUCGGGCAGGCUCGGGGGUCGCUGUCGCCGGCCCUCCCCUGGCCUGCUGGGGUCAGAUGGGAGGCCAGCAAGCCCUCCACAACGCAGGUCAGACCCUGCCGGCUUGGGAGCAGGAGCCUGGGAGCCCAGGAGAGGUCCAGCAGGCCAUCCCUCCACAGCCCCUGCCUGCAGCCAGUCAGAGGGACCCAUGAGAAUCCCUGGGCUCAUUCUUGCUCCAGCGCCUGGCCAUACCCUCAGGUGAUCAUCGCUGUCCCCCCAGGGGGCUUGGCUCGGGGGCUUGGCUCGGGGGCCCUGCCGUGGACAGCUUUCCUGCCAGUUUCAGGGGGAGAACUCCGACGUGCUGAGGAUGACGGUGGCGAGAGAGCUGUGGGCAGCAGAGAGUGCGUCCUGGCUGUGGCUGGGUGUGCUUGAGGGACCAGGGGCCAGGUCCAUCCUGCAGGGGCUGCACA